UGGGGAAUAUUGGACAAUGGGGGCAACCCUGAUCCAGCAAUGCCGCGUGGAUGAUGAAGGCCUUCGGGUUGUAAAGUCCUUUCGGCGGGGAAGAUGAUGACGGUACCCGCAGAAGAAGCCCCGGCUAACUUCGUGCCAGCAGCCGCGGUAAUACGAAGGGGGCUAGCGUUGUUCGGAAUUACUGGGCGUAAAGGGCGCGUAGGCUGUGCUGUAAGUCAGGCGUGAAAGCCCCGGGCUCAACCUGGGAAUUGCGCUUGAUACUGCGGCGCUGGAAGGUGGGAGAGGAUGGCGGAAUUCCCAGUGUAGAGGUGAAAUUCGUAGAUAUUGGGAAGAACACCGGUGGCGAAGGCGGCCAUCUGGCCCAUUUUUGACGCUGAGGCGCGAAAGCGUGGGGAGCAAACAG
Molecule: ribosomal RNA, 403 nt
Filed under: uncultured bacterium
Lineage: Bacteria
Description: bacterial SSU rRNA
Rfam family: Bacterial small subunit ribosomal RNA
Source: RNAcentral